CCCUUAAUGCAAGCGACGCCGGCGUAAGGGGAUGACGGGCCUUCGGGUUGUAACCCUCUUUUCAGUAGGGAAGAAGCGAAAGUGACGGUACCUGCAGAAGAAGCGCCGGCUAACUACGUGCCAGCAGCCGCGGUAAUACGUAGGGCGCAAGCGUUAUCCGGAAUUAUUGGGCGUAAAGAGCUCGUAGGCGGUUUGUCGCGUCUGCCGUGAAAGUCCGGGGCUCAACUCCGGAUCUGCGGUGGGUACGGGCAGACUAGAGUGAUGUAGGGGAGACUGGAAUUCCUGGUGUAGCGGUGAAAUGCGCAGAUAUCAGGAGGAACACCGAUGGCGAAGGCAGGUCUCUGGGCAUUAACUGACGCUGAGGAGCGAAAGCAUGGGGAGCG
RNAcentral lists this ribosomal RNA (383 nucleotides) under Arthrobacter sp. 02-G7. Its description in RNAcentral is "bacterial SSU rRNA". It matches the Rfam family "Bacterial small subunit ribosomal RNA", at positions 380 to 770 of the family's 1533-position model. The record is from RNAcentral. Lineage: Bacteria; Bacillati; Actinomycetota; Actinomycetes; Micrococcales; Micrococcaceae.